This 835-nucleotide ribosomal RNA is filed under the name Bacillus sp. (in: firmicutes). Its description in RNAcentral is "bacterial SSU rRNA". It matches the Rfam family "Bacterial small subunit ribosomal RNA", at positions 110 to 910 of the family's 1533-position model. The record is from RNAcentral. Lineage: Bacteria; Bacillati; Bacillota; Bacilli; Caryophanales; Bacillaceae.
AUAACGCUGUGGUAUAAUGUGCUGCAUGACAGUGGAUAUCUCUCCGGAAAACCCGGGGGUCUAAUACCGAUAUAAUGUUGUGAACCGCGUGGUCUCUUAUUUGAAGUGGCUUUUCGGCUGUCAUUUAUGAAUGGACCCCCGUCCCAUUACCUAUUUGGGGAGGUAACGGCUCCCCAGGGCAACGAUGCUUACCCAACCUGAAAGGGUGACCGCCCACACGGGAACUGAAACACGGCCCAAACUCCUACGGGAGGCACCAUUAGGAAAUCUUCCGCAUGGGACAAAAUUCUGACGAACCACCCCCCCGUGAGUGAUGAAGGUUUUCGAGUCUUAAAACUCUGUUGUUAGGAAAAAACAAUUGCUAUUUGAAUAAGCUGGCCCCUUGACGGUACCUAACCAAAAACCCACGGCUAACUACGUGCCACCACCCGCGGUAAUACGUAGGUGGCAAGCGUUAUCCGGAAUUAUUGGGCGUAAAGCGCGCGCAGGUGGUUUCUUAAGUCUGAUGUGAAACCCCCCGGCUCACCCGUGAAGGUUCAUUGAAAACUGGGAAACUUGAGUGCAAAAGAGGAAAGUGAAAUUCCAUGUGUAGCGGUGAAGUGCUUAUAGAUAUGUAGGAACACCAGUGUCAAAGGCAACUUUCUGGUCUGAACCUGACACUGAUGGCUCGAAACCGUGUCGAGCAAACAGGAUUAAUAUACCCUGGUAGUCCACCCCUUACCCCAGGAGUGCCAACCUGAUAGAGGGUUUCCUCCCCUUUUAGUGCUGAAGUAUACCGCUUUACGCCUUCCGCCCUGGGGAAUUACCGCCCUCCAAACUGAAACCUCCAAGGGAA